This 208-nucleotide microRNA precursor is filed under the name Physcomitrium patens. RNAcentral describes it as "Physcomitrella patens miR1030g stem-loop (ppt-MIR1030g)". Lineage: Eukaryota; Viridiplantae; Streptophyta; Bryopsida; Funariales; Funariaceae. The record is from miRBase by way of RNAcentral.
CCCCUGCAUUACUGCUUCAAUGCCACGUAUCUGCAUCUGCACCUGCACCAAAGUUUCGAAAUGCUAAGCUCUAAUGUGAAUGAUGACACUUUUUUUGUACCCAAAGUGGGCAUGAAGCUGUGUGUUCUGCUUGGUGAUCGUUUCACAGUUACGACUCGAUGGUGCGGGUUCUUAUGCAGAACCGUGGCAUUGGAGCAAUCCCUUUUAA